AUUGAACGCUGGCGGCAGGCCUAACACAUGCAAGUCGAACGGUAACAGGAAGAAGCUUGCUUCUUUGCUUACGAGUGGCGGACGGGUGAGUAAUGUCUGGGAAACUGCCUGAUGGAGGGGGAUAACUACUGGAAACGGUAGCUAAUACCGCAUAACUUCGCAAGCCCAAAAAGGGGGACCUUCGGGCCUCUUGCCAUCGGCUGUGCCCAGAUGGGAUUAGCUAGUAGGUGGGGUAACGGCUCACCUAGGCGACGAUCCCUAGCUGGUCUGAGAGGAUGACCAGCCACACUGGAACUGAGACACGGUCCAGACUCCUACGGGAGGCAGCAGUGGGGAAUAUUGCACAAUGGGCGCAAGCCUGAUGCAGCCAUGCCGCGUGUAUGAAGAAGGCCUUCGGGUUGUAAAGUACUUUCAGCGGGGAGGAAGGGAGUAAAGUUAAUACCUUUGCUCAUUGACGUUACCCGCAGAAGAAGCACCGGCUAACUCCGUG
This 490-nucleotide ribosomal RNA is filed under the name uncultured bacterium. Its description in RNAcentral is "partial 16S ribosomal RNA". It matches the Rfam family "Bacterial small subunit ribosomal RNA", at positions 30 to 507 of the family's 1533-position model. The record is from RNAcentral.